Molecule: long non-coding RNA, 654 nt
Organism: Passer domesticus (house sparrow)
Lineage: Eukaryota; Metazoa; Chordata; Aves; Passeriformes; Passeridae
Exons: 2
Source: RefSeq, a predicted model, not a curated record
GACUGCUACUGCUUUUGCUCACCACAUGACCCUCUUGAGGGUGCUGUCACCGCUUUCACAGUGUUUGAACUUCUUACCCAUUGCCUACCAGAACAGCAAUAGACUGGGGCACCUCAGAGAAAAACCCCAAGGCAAGAGCUUGAGGAAACGGCCAAAGGGAAGCCAGGGAGCAUUGUGGUCAGAGGUAAAGCUGACACCCUGACAUCAGAGCCAAUGGCAGAAAAAGAAAAAAGUCUGUUUUCUCUAAUGAAAGACCGUAAAGUACUUACCCAGCUCUGAGCUCAGUGAAGAGGAGGAGAUAGUCCAAAAGGCAGGCAGAAUGCUUCACAUAAAACGCUCUCACUACUAAGGAAGUGAGAGGCGAGAGAAAUUUUUUUGAAAGGAGAGGAAAAGCUAGACGUUUAUUCUCAUCAUCAAAGGGAAGGAAGAAGCAAAUGAAUCAGAAAUCAAAGAUUGAAUAUCAUUGGUCUUGCUGACAAAGCAAUCAGCAAUUCCCUCACAGCAAGUAUAGGGGUUUGUUGAACAAAGCAAAGGAAUUUGAAAGUCUUGAAGAAAAUAGGGUCUUUCCAUUUAUAAAAUUAGACAUAAUUUUAGAACAGCAUUUUGAUUUAGGAGCUGUGAAGAAGUUGUGCAUUAAAAAUACAUAAAUCCAAA